UUAAAUUGAAGAGUUUGAUCAUGGCUCAGAUUGAACGCUGGCGGCAGGCCUAACACAUGCAAGUCGAACGGUAACAGGAAGCAGCUUGCUGCUUUGCUGACGAGUGGCGGACGGGUGAGUAAUGUCUGGGAAACUGCCUGAUGGAGGGGGAUAACUACUGGAAACGGUGGCUAAUACCGCAUAACGUCGCAAGACCAAAGAGGGGG
This 206-nucleotide ribosomal RNA is filed under the name Salmonella enterica subsp. enterica serovar Schwarzengrund. RNAcentral's name for it is "partial 16S ribosomal RNA". It matches the Rfam family "Bacterial small subunit ribosomal RNA", at positions 1 to 210 of the family's 1533-position model. Lineage: Bacteria; Pseudomonadati; Pseudomonadota; Gammaproteobacteria; Enterobacterales; Enterobacteriaceae. RNAcentral also lists the same sequence under 1 other name. The record is from RNAcentral.